UACGUAGGUGGCAAGCGUUGUCCGGAAUUAUUGGGCGUAAAGCGCGCGCAGGCGGUGAUUUAAGUCUGAUGUGAAAGCCCACGGCUCAACCGUGGAGGGUCAUUGGAAACUGGGUCACUUGAGUGCAGGAGAGGGGAGUGGAAUUCCACGUGUAGCGGUGAAAUGCGUAGAUAUGUGGAGGAACACCAGUGGCGAAGGCGACUCUCUGGCCUGUAACUGACGCUGAGGCGCGAAAGCGUGGGGAGCAAACAGG
RNAcentral lists this ribosomal RNA (253 nucleotides) under uncultured bacterium. RNAcentral's name for it is "partial 16S ribosomal RNA". It matches the Rfam family "Bacterial small subunit ribosomal RNA", at positions 524 to 776 of the family's 1533-position model. The record is from RNAcentral.